UACAGAGGGUGCAAGCGUUACUCGGAAUUACUGGGCGUAAAGCGCGUGUAGGCGGUCGUGCAAGUCGGGUGUGAAAGCCCUGGGCUCAACCCAGGAAGUGCAUUCGAUACUGCGCGACUGGAGUCCCGGAGAGGAUGGUGGAACUCUCGGUGUAGAGGUGAAAUUCGUAGAUAUCGAGAAGAACACCGGUGGCGAAGGCGGCCAUCUGGACGGUGACUGACGCUGAGACGCGAAAGCGUGGGGAGCAAACAGG
This 253-nucleotide ribosomal RNA is filed under the name uncultured bacterium. RNAcentral describes it as "partial 16S ribosomal RNA". It matches the Rfam family "Bacterial small subunit ribosomal RNA", at positions 524 to 776 of the family's 1533-position model. The record is from RNAcentral.